Long non-coding RNA from Labeo rohita (rohu), 310 nucleotides. RefSeq lists it as uncharacterized. The record is from RefSeq and is a predicted model, not a curated record. The transcript is spliced from 3 exons. NCBI's taxonomy places the organism in Eukaryota, Metazoa, Chordata, Actinopteri, Cypriniformes, Cyprinidae.
CUCAUCUUUAAAAUGCCUGGCCAGACUGCCAGACUAAAUGGUUGAACUUGUGGGCAAAAUGGGUCCUUUUAGACUUCUUAUUUUAUUGUAUCUGUAUCAUUUAUGGAGUGAAGUGCUCUGUUCUCCAAUUGAACGUGCUUCCCAUGCAUCUGACUGGAAUGAUGCUGGGCAAGUACUACAAGAAAACAAAGGACGGACUGUUUACUCUGAAAAAUCUACUCUAAUGGACUACCCCUUUGUAAAAGGAGCAUAUCCUAAAGAACCCAGUUCCUCCUUGCCUGAGAAGUCCAACAGUAAACUUGAAAAACCC